RNAcentral lists this unclassified non-coding RNA (290 nucleotides) under uncultured Saccharomycetales. RNAcentral's name for it is "sequence contains ITS2". Lineage: Eukaryota; Fungi; Ascomycota; Saccharomycetes. The record is from RNAcentral.
AACGCACAUUGCGCCUUUUGGUAUUCCAGAAGGCAUACUUGUUUGAGCGUCAUUUCACUCUUAAAAAACAUAUUUUUGUUUUUUAGUAUUGAGUUUUAUUUCUCUUAUGGAGAAUAACUUGAAAUGAAUUGGCAAAAGCGAAUUAUAUUUCUUUUAAGGCUUUUUUACAACGUAAUAGGUUUUACCAACUCGUUGACUUUAAAGCUGAAAUUAGUUCAUGCUUGGGCAUUAUAACUAAAACUUUUUAAAAGUUUGACCUCAAAUCAAGCAAGAUUACCCGCUGAACUUAA